Molecule: ribosomal RNA, 1500 nt
Filed under: Clostridioides difficile
Lineage: Bacteria; Bacillati; Bacillota; Clostridia; Peptostreptococcales; Peptostreptococcaceae
Description: bacterial LSU rRNA
Rfam family: Bacterial large subunit ribosomal RNA
Source: RNAcentral
GUAGGUGAUGGACAACAGGUUGAUAUUCCUGUACUACCGAUAACCGUUUGAGAGAUGGGAUGACACAGUAGGAUAAGCUAAGCACACUGUUGGUUAUGUGUGCCCAAGCAUUGAGGCAGUCAAAGUAGGCAAAUCCGCUUUGAUAAUGCUGGGAUGUGAUGGGGAGCGAAAUUUAGUAGCGAAGUAGCUGAUUUCACACUGUCAAGAAAAGUCUCUAUCGAGGUUAAAGGUACCCGUACCGCAAACCGACACAGGUGGGUGAGGAGAGUAUCCUAAGGCCAGCGAGAGAACUGUUGUUAAGGAACUCGGCAAAAUGACCCCGUAACUUAGGGAUAAGGGGUGCCACCAUCAGGUGGCCGCAGAGAAUAGGCCCAAGCGACUGUUUACCAAAAACAUAGGUUUCUGCUAAGUCGCAAGACGAUGUAUAGGAGCUGACGCCUGCCCGGUGCUGGAAGGUUAAGGGGAUCUGUUAGAGCAAUCGAAGCAGUGAACUUAAGCCCCAGUAAACGGCGGCCGUAACUAUAACGGUCCUAAGGUAGCGAAAUUCCUUGUCGGGUAAGUUCCGACCCGCACGAAAGGCGUAACGAUUUGGGCACUGUCUCAACAACAGACUCGGUGAAAUUGUAAUUCCGGUGAAGAUGCCGGAUACCUGCGACAGGACGGAAAGACCCCAUGGAGCUUUACUGUAGCUUGACAUUGGGUCUUGGUACUACAUGUACAGGAUAGGUGGGAGGCUUUGAAACCAGGACGCCAGUUUUGGCGGAGCCAUCCUUGGGAUACCACCCUUGUAGUACUGGGACUCUAACCAUAGGCCAUGAAUCUGGUCUUGGGACACUGUCAGGUGGGCAGUUUGACUGGGGCGGUCGCCUCCCAAAAGGUAACGGAGGCGCUCAAAGGUUCUCUCAGUACGGUCGGAAAUCGUACGUAGAGUGUAAAGGCAAAAGAGAGCUUGAUUGCAAGACAUACAGGUCGAGCAAGGAUGAAAAUCGGACUUAGUGAUCCGGUGGUUCUGCGUGGAAGGGCCAUCGCUCAACGGAUAAAAGCUACCCUGGGGAUAACAGGCUUAUCUCCCCCAAGAGUCCACAUCGACGGGGAGGUUUGGCACCUCGAUGUCGGCUCAUCACAUCCUGGGGCUGUAGUAGGUCCCAAGGGUUGGGCUGUUCGCCCAUUAAAGUGGUACGCGAGCUGGGUUCAGAACGUCGUGAGACAGUUCGGUCCCUAUCCGUCGCAGGCGUAGGAAAUUUGAGAAGACCUGUCCUUAGUACGAGAGGACCGGGAUGGACGUACCUCUGGUGUACCAGUUGUCCUGCCAAGGGCAUGGCUGGGUAGCUAUGUACGGAAUGGAUAAGCGCUGAAAGCAUCUAAGCGCGAAGCCAACUUCAAGAUAAGAUUUCCCACCGCAAGGGUAAGACCCCAGAAAGACUAUCUGGUUGAUAGGUCGAAGGUGUAAGUGCAGCAAUGUAUUUAGCUUAUCGAUACUAAUAGGUCGAGGACUUGACC